GACGAACGCUGGCGGCGUGCUUAAUACAUGCAAGUCGAGCGAGGUUACUGCGACAGAUCCCUUCGGGGUGAAGUUGCUUUAGCCUAGCGGCGGACGGGUGAGUAACGCGUGGGUAACCUACCCUAAAGUUCGGGAUAACAGCGGGAAACCGGCUGCUAAUACCGGAUGCCUUUACCGUGUGGCAUCACAAGGUAAAGAAAGGUAACGCUUUAGGAUGGGCCCGCGUCCCAUUAGCUAGUUGGUGAGGUAACAGCUCACCAAGGCGACGAUGGGUAGCCGGCCUGAGAGGGUGGACGGCCACACUGGGACUGAGACACGGCCCAGACUCCUACGGGAGGCAGCAGUAGGGAAUAUUGCGCAAUGGACGGAAGUCUGACGCAGCGACGCCGCGUGAGCGAUGAAGGCCUUCGGGUUGUAAAGCUCUGUCCUUGGGGAAGAAGGUCUUCGGACUUGACGGUACCCAAGAAGAAAGCCCCGGCUAACUACGUGCCAGCAGCCGCGGUAAUACGUAGGGGGCGAGCGUUGUCCGGAAUUACUGGGCGUAAAGGGUGCGUAGGCGGCCCUUUAAGUCAGAUGUGAAAGCCCGCAGCUUAACUGCGGAAUUGCGUUUGAAACUGGAGGGCUUGAGUGUCGGAGAGGGUAGUGGAAUUCCCAGUGUAGCGGUGAAAUGCGUAGAUAUUGGGAGGAACACCAGUGGCGAAAGCGACUGCCUGGACGAUAACUGACGCUGAGGCACGAAAGCUAGGGGAGCAAACAGG
Molecule: ribosomal RNA, 758 nt
Filed under: uncultured bacterium
Lineage: Bacteria
Description: bacterial SSU rRNA
Rfam family: Bacterial small subunit ribosomal RNA
Source: RNAcentral